GACGAACGCUGGCGGCGUGCUUAACACAUGCAAGUCGAACGGUGAAGCGCCUUCCUUUUUGGUGGGUGUGGAUGAGUGGUGAACGGGUGAGUAACACGUGAGUAACCUGCCCCCUUCUUCUGGAUAACCGCAUGAAAGUGUGGCUAAUACGGGAUAUUCUGGGUCUGUCGCAUGAUGGGUCCGGGAAAGAUAUUGUUUCGGUGGGGGAUGGGCUCGCGGCCUAUCAGCUUGUUGGUGGGGUGAUGGCCUACCAAGGCGGUGACGGGUAGCCGGCCUGAGAGGGUGGACGGUCACACUGGGACUGAGACACGGCCCAGACUCCUACGGGAGGCAGCAGUGGGGAAUAUUGCACAAUGGGCGCAAGCCUGAUGCAGCGACGCCGCGUGAGGGAUGGAGGCCUUCGGGUUGUGAACCUCUUUCGCCAGUGAAGCAGGCCUGCCUCGUUUGUGGGUGGGUUGACGGUAGCUGGAUAAGAAGCGCCGGCUAACUACGUG
Molecule: ribosomal RNA, 494 nt
Filed under: uncultured bacterium
Lineage: Bacteria
Description: partial 16S ribosomal RNA
Rfam family: Bacterial small subunit ribosomal RNA
Source: RNAcentral